CACCUGAUAGCACAUGGUGUGCACCUGCCUUUCCUAGUUCGGUGAAAACAUAUGUAGGCAGGAGGUCCCGUUCGACUCGGGGUCGGGUGA
Mycena alexandri is the source of this 90-nucleotide non-coding RNA. NCBI's taxonomy places the organism in Eukaryota, Fungi, Basidiomycota, Agaricomycetes, Agaricales, Mycenaceae. The record is from the annotation of a GenBank genome assembly.